Molecule: long non-coding RNA, 1302 nt
Organism: Meriones unguiculatus (Mongolian gerbil)
Lineage: Eukaryota; Metazoa; Chordata; Mammalia; Rodentia; Muridae
Exons: 5
Source: RefSeq, a predicted model, not a curated record
CUUCAUUCCAGACUCUUGGGACAAUCCUUGAGGACAAUGAAGCAGACCAGCUCCCUGUCCUGAGAGAGAGUUUAUGUUCUGGGAACAAAUGGCAAGGAGUACCAGUGAGCCCCAGGUGGAAAGAGCAGAGAUUGAAAAUGACAGUGCCCCAAAGCAUGAAUGAGAACAACAUCUCAAGCCAGGCGAGGUGGCGCACACCUGUGAUCCCAGCACUCUGGGAGGCGGAGGCCAGCCUGGUCUACAAGAGAAGACAGCCUCGGGGGAACCAGUGACGGCCUAUGGGAUACAGAUGCUCCUGUCUCUGCGGCACUGGGAGUCACGGGGAGAACCUUGGGAAUCAUGUUCCUGCUGACGGCAAGGGAUACACCCUGUGAGCUCAGUGUCAGCUCCUGAAGCACCUGCCUGACUCUGAACUAGGGACAACAAGAGUGAUGUGUGCAGCCACGAAAUACCAGCACUACUUCCUCCCUGGCUCAUCACUUGGAACCAUUCAAACAUGGCCCCACCCAACCCCAGGAAGGGGAGGGGUGGUAUUCAGGCAUGUUCUGAGACCUCCUGACAUAUUUUCCAGCCCAAGCCUUCCAGGGCAACAACAGCAUGCUGCCAGCUUUCUCUCUGUCCUCCUCGAGGGGGUCGGUGCACUUCUGCUGUGGUAGCGGGGCAAAGCUGGAGAUUGGGGAUUUCUGUGUGACUAUUCUUGCUGGCAUCAGAGCACCACUGCCAAACACUUACCUCUUCCCGCCUCCCAUCCCUACCCCCCUUUCCUGCCAAUCUCCACCCCUCCACCUCAAUGGACAUUGAACCAUGGCUCAUCGCAUUAGGAUGGAGGCAUAGAGUCUCACAAACACCUCACGCCCUGACAACCUGAAGACAGCCCAGAAGCAUGCUUGGGAUGCGGGAUAAGGGCUCCUUGAGGGGCGGCUGGCCAGCCCGUUUCAACCCAGAGAAGAAAAAUAGAACUGAGUCCUCUGUAGCACAAGAGAGUAACGCUCACCAGCUGCCCCGCCUCCCUCCCUGGCUUGCCUGGUUCGGUCAAACCAUUUCAAGGGAACGCCAACAACUGCCUUCCACUGCGACAGCACUGCUCCUGGAGCCUUCUAGUGGCAAGAAGACAGUGAAUCCACUCGCUGUAACACGCACUGGUUCUGUCCUCCAGUCCUUCUGGAUUUCAGUUAUGCUUCUCUGUGAAGUCACGGACAGAGCCUCUUGAGGAGGCUGGUCACAGGGAGAAGACUGGCGUGGCAGAGAGAGCAUAGAACCCAGAACCUGGAACUUAACUGUGAGAGUCCGCUCACAUCUGGA